AACUUUCGGCAACGGAUCUCUUGGUUCUGGCAUCGCUGAAGAACGCAGCAAAAUGCGAUAAGUAAUGUGAAUUGCAGAAUUCAGUGAAUCAUCGAAUCUUUGAACGCACAUUGCGCCCGCCAGUAUUCUGGCGGGCAUGCCUGUCUGAGCGUCAUUUCAACUCUCAGGGCCCGUUCGCGGGACCUGCUGUUGGGGAUCGGCCCGCCCUCGCGGCGGCCGGCCUUUAAACCCAGUGGCGGUCCUUCUGUGAUCUCCUCUGUGCAGUAGUAAUACCUCGCAGCUGGAUAGCAGUCGGCCCACGCCGUAAAACAACCCGAUCUUCCAAGGUUGACCUCUGAUCAGGUAGGAAUACCCGCUGAAUUUAAGCAUAUCAAUAAGCGGAGGCU
Molecule: unclassified non-coding RNA, 386 nt
Filed under: uncultured Ascomycota
Lineage: Eukaryota; Fungi; Ascomycota
Also listed under: 1 other name
Description: sequence contains ITS2
Rfam family: 5.8S ribosomal RNA (bases 1-154)
Source: RNAcentral